This 468-nucleotide ribosomal RNA is filed under the name uncultured bacterium. Its description in RNAcentral is "partial 16S ribosomal RNA". It matches the Rfam family "Bacterial small subunit ribosomal RNA", at positions 28 to 507 of the family's 1533-position model. The record is from RNAcentral.
GACGAACGCUGGCGGCGUGCUUAACACAUGCAAGUCGAACGGAAAGGCCCUGCUUUUGUGGGGUGCUCGAGUGGCGAACGGGUGAGUAACACGUGAGUAACCUGCCCUUGACUUUGGGAUAACUUCAGGAAACUGGGGCUAAUACCGGAUAGGAGCUCCUGCUGCAUGGUGGGGGUUGGAAAGUUUCGGCGGUUGGGGAUGGACUCGCGGCUUAUCAGCUUGUUGGUGGGGUAGUGGCUUACCAAGGCUUUGACGGGUAGCCGGCCUGAGAGGGUGACCGGCCACAUUGGGACUGAGAUACGGCCCAGACUCCUACGGGAGGCAGCAGUGGGGAAUAUUGCACGAUGGGCGGCAGCCGGAUGCAGCAACGCCGCGUGCGGGAUGACGGCCUUCGGGUUGUAACCCGCUUUCGCCUGUGACGAAGCGUGAGUGACGGUAAUGGGUAAAGAAGCACCGGCUAACUACGUG